GAUGAAGAACGCAGUGAAAUGCGAUAAAUAAUGUGAAUUGCAGAAUUCAGUGAAUCAUCGAAUCUUUGAACGCACAUUGCGCCCGCCAGUAUUCUGGCGGGCAUGCCUGUUCGAGCGUCAUUACAACCCUCAGGCCCCCGGGCCUGGCGUUGGGGAUCGGCGGAAGCCCCCUGCGGGCACAACGCCGUCCCCCAAAUACAGUGGCGGUCCCGCCGCAGCUUCCAUUGCGUAGUAGCUAACACCUCGCAACUGGAGAGCGGCGCGGCCACGCCGUAAAACACCCAACUUCUGAAUGUUGACCUCGAAUCAGGUAGGAAUACCCGCUGAACUUAAGCAUAUCAUAAGCGGAGGA
RNAcentral lists this unclassified non-coding RNA (352 nucleotides) under soil metagenome. RNAcentral's name for it is "partial contains 5.8S ribosomal RNA, internal transcribed spacer 2, and large subunit ribosomal RNA". The stretch from base 1 to 120 matches the Rfam family "5.8S ribosomal RNA", at positions 35 to 154 of the family's 154-position model. The record is from RNAcentral.